RNAcentral lists this long non-coding RNA (310 nucleotides) under Arabidopsis lyrata. Its description in RNAcentral is "long non-coding RNA (ALYR_LNC003425)". The record is from RNAcentral. Lineage: Eukaryota; Viridiplantae; Streptophyta; Magnoliopsida; Brassicales; Brassicaceae.
AUUCUACUACAAAUAAACUCGAUAUUCACAAUAUUAGUCGAGUCUACACCGUUCAUAUGCUGGUUUCUGCCGAUCUCAAAGCGGUCUUAAUCGUUUUGAGCUUCUUGGGCUCCCAAUAACUGGGCAAGGCUUGGUGGGAUCGUAGAACACAGAAGCAUUUGUAGUUCUAGAUUUUAUAAAUGGGCCUUUUGUUGGAUCAAUCUCAGAGAUCAAGAUGAUUUUUAAUCUUCCACUUAUUUGAUGGGAUGGUUAAGAGUUAUCACUAGCAGUACCUCGUAUGUGUAGCAUAUGCGUAACAUACUUUUUUUUC